RNAcentral lists this small nuclear RNA (101 nucleotides) under Spermophilus dauricus (Daurian ground squirrel). The record is from RNAcentral. Lineage: Eukaryota; Metazoa; Chordata; Mammalia; Rodentia; Sciuridae.
GUGCUGGCUUCAGCAGCACACAUACUAAAAUUGAUAAUACCGAGAUUAGUGCGGCCCCUUUCAAGGAUGGCAUACAAAUUCAUGAAGCAUUUCAUAUACUU